RNAcentral lists this unclassified non-coding RNA (338 nucleotides) under Zea mays. Its description in RNAcentral is "misc RNA Zm00001eb391430". Lineage: Eukaryota; Viridiplantae; Streptophyta; Magnoliopsida; Poales; Poaceae. The record is from RNAcentral.
CACCAACUCACUUACAAAACAGCAGCCGUCUUCACGCCAUGUCGAACUCUUGCAUCGAACUUGGGCUGCAGAUGAUGUUGAACGGCUUGUCGAUGCUGUCCUGCAAUAUCGUGAUCUGUCCCUCCUUGACAAGUAUGUCUUCGUCCAAGGCUUCGAUCUUCUUCUUCAGCGAUACAACCUCGUUCUGCAUGAUGCUCAUGUUUCUUCUCAGCUACUUCACCUCCUGCCACUACAGGUCCCUGUCUUCCAUCACCGUUUUCAGUGUUCCACGAAGAGCAGCCAGCUCCUUCGUAGAUUACUGGAAAUCCUGUUGGAUCUCAUCGAUUAACUCAUCCUUC